This is a long non-coding RNA of Siniperca chuatsi (mandarin fish), 713 nucleotides long. RefSeq lists it as uncharacterized. The transcript has 5 exons. Lineage: Eukaryota; Metazoa; Chordata; Actinopteri; Centrarchiformes; Sinipercidae. The record is from RefSeq and is a predicted model, not a curated record.
CUAAAUCCCUGGGAAAUUGUAGAUUAUGGUUUACUGACUGAUCCACAGAACAGAAGGUGGCGGUAAUGCACCAUUAAGCUGUUUGCCAACCGCCGUUAAAGAAGAAGAAGAAGAAGAAGAAGAAGAAGAAGAAGAAGAAGAAGAAGAAGAAGACGAAGACGGAAACGGAAACGGGGAAGAGUUGCGCUAGCUGCUCACUGAUCGAUGCUAAUACUCCACGUUGAAGUCGGUGGGGGAGAGCAGUGCAUUGAUCCUUGUGUAUAUAAAAUGCCGCUCUCAGUCGCCCACGUUUGCUAUAAUGAAAAUUUGAGGCCGCGACUCAGCACAGGAUACAUUGGAGGAGAUGGCCUCACGUGACUCAGCAUGGAGGCGCUCCCAUCCUGAGACACACAGACCUCCAUGUGGCAGAGCAUUUGUGGAAAUGCGUAUUCAUGGAGAAGUGCAGUAAUGCAGGCUCAGCUGCUGGUCGUCCCACACUGGCCCAAAGAAACAGGGCUGCUACGACUGACCUCCAGACUGAGAAGAGAGGCCUGAGGACGGUCAACCAGUGGCUGCUUCUGAAGCAGGAACAUGAGAAAAAUAAUCAGCUCCUUCACUCAUGCUCCACAGUGGAAAGCAGUCACCAUCUGCCCUUCAAUGAUUGUUUGUACUUGAAAGAUGUUGUGGAUGUGAAUGUGCCUCACUCUUCUGUUUAUAAUAAACCUGUAACUGUU